This 774-nucleotide ribosomal RNA is filed under the name bacterium MB43. RNAcentral's name for it is "partial 16S ribosomal RNA". The stretch from base 221 to 774 matches the Rfam family "Bacterial small subunit ribosomal RNA", at positions 875 to 1445 of the family's 1533-position model. RNAcentral also lists the same sequence under 1 other name. The record is from RNAcentral.
AAAAGGAACAAUAACUCAGUUCCCCGCGUAACGUACAAAAAAUUGGAAGGGCCUCUGGCACCGAGGGCAUUAUCCGAGUUCUCGAGACAAAUAAAGUACCGGAAAAGCGAAAUGGAAAAAAGAAGAUUAGACCCCUGGUUAUAGAACUCUAUAAGUAAAGUAGGAGGGUUGGAGGGCCAGUGUCCUUUUCUGACCCAGUCAACCAUAAAGCAGUCCGCCGGGGGAGGCGGUGGCAAGGAAAAACUCAAAUGAAUUGAAGGGGGGCCGCACAAGCGGUGGAGCAUGUGGUUUAAUUCGAUGCAACGAGAAGAACCUUACCUACUCUUGAGUCCUGUAAGCCACCAGAGAAACGGGUUGUCCUUCUGGGGAACUUAAAACAAGCUGAAUAACUGGUGUUCGUCUUGUUUUGAAAAAUGUGGGUAAAAGUCCCAACAAGGGCCCCCCCCUUUAUCUUUUUGCCCCACAUUCAGUUUGGAACUUUAAGAAGACUUCCGGUGACAAACCGGAGGAAGGUGGGGAUGACGUCAAACAUCAUGCCCUUGUGGGAAAAGUACACCGGUUCUACAAUGGGGUGUACAGAGGGCAGCCAACCCAGGGAUGGAGGAACCUCAAAAAGUUAGGAUUCGCAUUGUAGGCUGCCACUCGCCUCUAAGAGUGUAAUUUAUUAGUUAUAGGAAACCCCAAUGCAGGGUGAAAUUCUUGCCGAGCCUUGUUCACAACACACCUCUCCCCCAGGGGGGUGGGCUCCCCCGAAGAGGUUGGGUUCACCUCCGG